GUAGCCAUUCUUGUGGCAAAGAUUAUAAUGACAGGGAGAAACGGUGCAAAAUUAACCAAUUCUUGCAUCUUCCAACAGUAAUCUAACAAGCCUCCUUGUGUUCUGUAUAAUGUGCUAUAUUAGACCCAAAGAGUGGGUGAGAGUGUGUGAGCGAGAAAAAUGAAAUACCGCACACCUUGGGUCAUAAUUUAACUUACCAGCUUUAGCCUAACAGUCAGAAAUCUGCUGUUGCCCAUGCUGUUGCCAGAAGGUGCCACUGUAACAAGCAGAAAAGCACCCAAAGAUCUCGGAAGAAUUAGGAGGAUACCGCGGCCCUAAAAUAAAACAGCUCACAGGGCUGUAGCGCUGCCCUGCUGUGCUGUGCGGCCUUUGGGUGAGUUAGCUCGCCUCCGCGCAUCCCACAUCUCCGGCGCCCCUGCAGGUCACGGCCCAGGGCUGGUGUUUGAACGUUGGCAGCCCAUGAGGUGUCGAGUGCCUCUGAGGUGUGAGGAGAGAGAUGCUCCUGUGGACUCUCCUAGAAGCUUUUGUGAUUUCUGCAGCAAGAACUGAGAUAGUCAGCCCCUUGUUAGAUGCAGACCUUCAGUAACUUAGGCUACAACAGACUAUCAAUCAGCUGUGGAUUUUCUUUAAAAAUACGGUUACUGGAAAGGAGACUGGAACUUUCGAUGUUCAGGCAAUGUCUGUCAUUGUGUGCACUUCAGAAAAUAAGCAGAGCAAGGAUUGUGAGACCAAAGGGGCUGGGAAGCAGCAGGAGAAGGCUGCUCUACGAGGGCAGGAGAGUAGGAGCUGAGGAGGGUGCCCGUCCCACCAUGCCUGGGCCCUGGCCUAACCCCAAAGUGGAGAUGGACAAUGACCCCCAAGUAGACCUGGAGGUCUGGAAACCUUCCAGUUCAGAUGUCCCCACAGGUGUCCUCCUGGAGCUCCAUAUGUCAGUGCAGCUGCACCUAGACCUCCCUCACUGCCAGGGGCUGCACAGCACCGAGGUUGCCUCACACCACUCCAUUCACCCUCACAUGUCCCAAGUACCAAACACAACGUCCGCCAGCACAAGCCAUUUCCUCCAUCAGCAUUAGACCCUGAGUUUAGCUAUCUACAGCUAUCUAGUCUGCUGGCCCCAAUAGCCAAGAAAUAUAGAAUAUCAUAGUUUCAUACUUUAGUAAAUACUACGAAUUCUACUCACAAAAAAAUGUGUGUUUUCUCACCUAGAGGUGAGACGCAAAACUUGCUGAGGAAGCUGGAAGGCAUAUAAAAAUGAAGCCAGGAUUGCAGAAAAGAAAAAGAUUGUCUUACGGGUAAGGCACAUAAACGUCCCAUUGAAAAACUGGAUUCUAACUUUUGCUCCUAUGUACAUGCUGGUAUUGGACUAGGCAAGUCACUUAAACUUUUUUCAAUUAAAUGCUGAAUGUGAUCUUCAUUUUCCUUGAAACCUACUUGAGAGCUUUCAAAUUUGCAGAAGUGUUAGGUCUCACAAACAUAGCAGUGGCUGAUUGAGACUCUGUAAAUAACAUGCUAUAAAAGCAUAUAAAGUGCUGUAGAACACUAAGUGCCCUGGAAAAUUGGGAUCUAAGCAUCUCGUUCUGGGGACCCAAAAUUAAUGGACACUUGACUUCUUGAUCUAAAGUCUCUGUGAUUUAGUUUCCUUUCUGUAAAAAGGAUAAAAAAUAAUACCACUCUUUACAAGUAUUUGUAAAGCUUAAUUAGUUUAGAUUUGUGGAGCACUCUGAUCCUAUAGUGAUGAAUGUUUUAAAGAAGUACAUGAGGAAAUUAACAAUUUUCUACUCAAUGCUGGAUUAAGUGACAGGCUGCAGAUCAGGCUAGGUAUCACACAAUGCUUGCAGAUACAAAGAUAUAUACAGUCCAUCCUGAAUGAAGAACAGACUGAGCCUCAUGGAAAGUUGAUGAGGCAAUUCUCUCAAAAGAGAAUUGCAGAACUUUAUGCAUAAUAAUGCAGAUCAAGGUUUUCUCUAUCUGUGAAAUCCCUUGCAUUUUCUCAGAGAGGAAGAAGAUAUGCAUAUUUUGUGAGAGGGAAAGGGCUGCAGCAGUAAGUCGUGGUUUAGCAGCAUCUUUAGGUCU
Molecule: long non-coding RNA, 2073 nt
Filed under: Struthio camelus australis
Lineage: Eukaryota; Metazoa; Chordata; Aves; Struthioniformes; Struthionidae
Description: lncRNA (ENSSCUG00000015717.1)
Source: RNAcentral